This 200-nucleotide unclassified non-coding RNA is filed under the name soil metagenome. RNAcentral's name for it is "partial contains internal transcribed spacer 2 and large subunit ribosomal RNA". The record is from RNAcentral.
UAAAGAAACGUAGCUCGUUCGUAAUACAUUAGCAUCUCAAUUUCGAAACUCGGAUUGACUCAGCGUUAUAGACUAUUCGCUGAGGACACAAGUCAAAUUGUGGCCGAAUUUUAAGAUAACUAGAAGCUUCUAACCCCCAACUAUUAGUCAAAACUAUAAGAUUAGACCUCAGAUCAGGCAGGAUUACCCGCUGAACUUAA